UUCUUCAACGGCCGCGGUAACCUGACCGUGCUAAGGUAGCGUAAUCAACUGCCCUUUAAUUGUGGGCCAGUAUGAAUGGCUAGUCAAGAGCCUAGCUGUCUCAAAAAGACUUUUGAAAAUUUACCUUUAGGUGCAAAGGCCUAAAUACUAGUGAAAGACAAGAAGACCCUAUCGAGCUUUAAUUUAUAUUAUUUUAUUACAACACUAUAAAUUUUUAUUGGGGCAAUAAAGGAGCAAUCAAAGCCUCCUUGAUUAAUAUAGAUAAACUAAUUUAAAAAGAUAUAUUCGCUAAUAAUCUCCGGCACAAGCUACCGUAGGGAUAACAGACCUAUUUCCCUUGAGAGUUCACAUUGACAGGGAAGUUUGGCACCUCGAUGUUGGCUUAGAAAAACAGUUAGAAGCAGCACUCUAACCUUGUAGGUUUGUUCACCCUUUAAUUUUCUAGUCUUCUAGAUUAACAAAUUAGAAGUCCAGCCUGCCCAGUGAA
This 487-nucleotide ribosomal RNA is filed under the name Phascolosoma perlucens. Its description in RNAcentral is "partial 16S ribosomal RNA". It matches the Rfam family "Bacterial large subunit ribosomal RNA", at positions 1920 to 2628 of the family's 2925-position model. The record is from RNAcentral. Lineage: Eukaryota; Metazoa; Annelida; Sipuncula; Phascolosomatiformes; Phascolosomatidae.